UCGAGGGGCAGCACGAGGUAGCAAUAUCUAUGGUGGCGACCGGCGCACGGGUGCGUAACGCGUAUGCAACCUACCUUUAACAGGGGGAUAACACUGAGAAAUUGGUACUAAUACCCCAUAAUAUCAUAGAAGGCAUCUUUUAUGGUUGAAAAUUCCGAUGGUUAGAGAUGGGCAUGCGUUGUAUUAGCUAGUUGGUGAGGUAACGGCUCACCAAGGCUACGAUACAUAGGGGGACUGAGAGGUUUUCCCCCACAUUGGAACUGAGACACGGUCCAAACUCC
This 281-nucleotide ribosomal RNA is filed under the name uncultured Alistipes sp. RNAcentral's name for it is "partial 16S ribosomal RNA". It matches the Rfam family "Bacterial small subunit ribosomal RNA", at positions 62 to 339 of the family's 1533-position model. The record is from RNAcentral. Lineage: Bacteria; Pseudomonadati; Bacteroidota; Bacteroidia; Bacteroidales; Rikenellaceae.